UACGUAGGGACCAAGCGUUGUUCGGAUUCAUUGGGCGUAAAGGGCGCGUAGGCGGCGCAACAAGUCAGCUGUGAAAUCUCCGGGCUUAACCCGGAGCGGCCAGCUGAUACUGUCGUGCUAGAGUGCGGAAGAGGCGAGUGGAAUUCCUGGUGUAGCGGUGAAAUGCGCAGAUAUCAGGAGGAACACCAAUUGCGAAGGCAGCUCGCUGGGACGUUACUGACGCUGAGACGCGAAAGCGUGGGGAGCAAACAGG
Molecule: ribosomal RNA, 253 nt
Filed under: uncultured bacterium
Lineage: Bacteria
Description: partial 16S ribosomal RNA
Rfam family: Bacterial small subunit ribosomal RNA
Source: RNAcentral